GUACCCUCAAGCUCUGCUUGGUGUUGGGUGUUUGUCCCGCCUUUGGUGCGUGGACUCGCCUCAAAAUAAUUGGCAGCCGGCAUAUUGGCCUUGGAGCGCAGCACAUUUUGCGCUUCUAGUCAAUGAUUGUUGGCGUCCAGCAAGUACAAAUCUCAAC
This 157-nucleotide unclassified non-coding RNA is filed under the name Parapyrenochaeta protearum. RNAcentral describes it as "partial internal transcribed spacer 2". Lineage: Eukaryota; Fungi; Ascomycota; Dothideomycetes; Pleosporales; Parapyrenochaetaceae. RNAcentral also lists the same sequence under 1 other name. The record is from RNAcentral.